AGUUUUAAUAAUUUAAAUAAAAUAUUGAUUUUGUAAAUCAAAAAUAUGAUUUCAUUUAAAAC
This 62-nucleotide transfer RNA is filed under the name Scymninae sp. 4 ACP-2013. Its description in RNAcentral is "tRNA-Thr". Lineage: Eukaryota; Metazoa; Arthropoda; Insecta; Coleoptera; Coccinellidae. The record is from RNAcentral.